Long non-coding RNA from Mya arenaria, 709 nucleotides. RefSeq lists it as uncharacterized. The record is from RefSeq and is a predicted model, not a curated record. NCBI's taxonomy places the organism in Eukaryota, Metazoa, Mollusca, Bivalvia, Myida, Myidae. The transcript has 4 exons.
GAGGAACUGUAAAGAACCAGCCAGACAGCCCGCCCGCCGAGUUGCCCACCCGGCCGAGCUGUACUUUGUGUAUGCCAACAUGCCGACAUGCUGUAAUUUGUUAGUACUUCAAGAUCAUAUAAUGGAAAAUUGUAUCCAAACUGAAGUAUAAUUUGACGAGCCUGGUUGCUGUAGCCACAGGGGAAUUUUCAAGGACAAGAACCAGUGCUGGUGAAAAUGUGGUCUCAUGUGGUUUUCCAUACCGGCAUUCAGCAAGGAUUUCAGAGAAAGGAAUACUGUCUCCAAAUCAUGAUGUGCCGAUAAGCUCCAGUUAGCUGUGCCUUUUUCCUCCCACCGGUAGUCCUUCAAUCUGAAUCCAGGAGAUGCAGCUCUGAAUCCAAUAUUUCAGGAGAAUGAAUAUCUCUGAUGUACUCAGCUGUGAUGUAACAUGCCUUCAAGCCACUAUCCGAAGAACAUUCAGACGUUCUAAAUGGACCAUUGCCCUGUUGCCAUGGAAAUCAUUAUGAGGAGGAGCACACAAACUGUCACUUGUUUUGGAUAUCAGAUGUACCACGAACUGACCAUAAACUUUUCAGAUGCUCUGUUUAUUUCAUCAGCCAAUUUCGAUGUAAAUUUUACUGAAUAAUGACAAACAGUCUUACUCAUAAGCAUCUCUUACUCAUUCGUAUUCCACAACUAAACAUGCUUGCAAUUACACUGUGCCAUCUAU